AUACGAAGGGUGCAAGCGUUAAUCGGAAUUACUGGGCGUAAAGCGCGCGUAGGUGGUUUUGUAAGUUGGAGGUGAAAGCCCCGGGCUCAACCUGGGAAUUGCCUCCAAAACUGCAUGACUAGAGUACGGUAGAGGGUAGUGGAAUUUCCUGUGUAGCGGUGAAAUGCGUAGAUAUAGGAAGGAACACCAGUGGCGAAGGCGACUACAGGGACUGAUACUGCAACGGCGGUGCUAAAGCGUGGGUAGCAAACAGGAUUAGAUACCCUGGUAGCCCACGCCGUAAACGAUGUCAACUAGCCGUUGGGAUCCUUGAGAUCUUAGUGGCGCAGCUAACGAAUUAAGUUGACCGCCUGGGGAGUACGGCCGCAAGGUUAAAACUCAAAUGAAUUGACGGGG
Molecule: ribosomal RNA, 396 nt
Filed under: uncultured bacterium
Lineage: Bacteria
Description: partial 16S ribosomal RNA
Rfam family: Bacterial small subunit ribosomal RNA
Source: RNAcentral